Long non-coding RNA from Saccostrea cuccullata (small rock oyster), 495 nucleotides. RefSeq lists it as uncharacterized. The record is from RefSeq and is a predicted model, not a curated record. The transcript is spliced from 2 exons. Lineage: Eukaryota; Metazoa; Mollusca; Bivalvia; Ostreida; Ostreidae.
CUGGUUUAUAUAAGAAGAGUGGGGGACGUAGAAUCUACAAUGACUUCGUUUGCCGCCUACAUCAGUACAGGAUCAUGAUAUCAGUACAGUACAUGAGUGUUAUGACAGUCGCUCUCGUCUAUAUGUCGGUCAUCACAGAAGGGUUACCAUUAUCUCAUGAAUCUUCAACACUCAUGGACCAGAGCAACGACCAAUCUUCAUCGAAGAGGAUCGAAUCGAAAACUCUCUUGCCCAUGGCGUCCCAUAAGGAGACGCGUUCUGAUUCUUCUGUGACCAUCUAUUGUAAAACACCGGAGUGUAUCGAACAGAUCAAGCUCUUCCUUGCUAGCCACCAACAUGAAGGCUUUGAACUUUUGGGUGGAAGAUGGUAACAGAAAGCAAAGAGUCUGACUGCUUGAGAACUUGAAUAAAACCCAUGUGAAUCUCAAUUUUUUGUCUGAAUGCUGUGUUCAUAUUCAUUGUAACUCUGUUCAACAUAAAAUUUAUUUAUUGGUA